RNAcentral lists this non-coding RNA (30 nucleotides) under Homo sapiens (human). Lineage: Eukaryota; Metazoa; Chordata; Mammalia; Primates; Hominidae. The record is from RNAcentral.
GAUCCUUGAGAGUGACCAUGAGGGCCAUGU